GACGAACGCUGGCGGCGUGCCUAAUACAUGCAAGUAGAACGCUGAAGGAGGAGCUUGCUUCUCUGGAUGAGUUGCGAACGGGUGAGUAACGCGUAGGUAACCUGCCUGGUAGCGGGGGAUAACUAUUGGAAACGAUAGCUAAUACCGCAUAAUAGUAGAUGUUGCAUGACAUUUGCUUGAAAGGUGCAAUUGCAUCACUACCAGAUGGACCUGCGUUGUAUUAGCUAGUUGGUGAGGUAACGGCUCACCAAGGCAACGAUACAUAGCCGACCUGAGAGGGUGAUCGGCCACACUGGGACUGAGACACGGCCCAGACUCCUACGGGAGGCAGCAGUAGGGAAUCUUCGGCAAUGGACGGAAGUCUGACCGAGCAACGCCGCGUGAGUGAAGAAGGUUUUCGGAUCGUAAAGCUCUGUUGUAAGAGAAGAAACGAGUGUGAGAAGUGGAAAGUUUCA
Molecule: ribosomal RNA, 455 nt
Filed under: Streptococcus mitis
Lineage: Bacteria; Bacillati; Bacillota; Bacilli; Lactobacillales; Streptococcaceae
Description: bacterial SSU rRNA
Rfam family: Bacterial small subunit ribosomal RNA
Source: RNAcentral